GACGAACGCUGGCGGCGUGCUUAACACAUGCAAGUCGAACGGAAAGGCUCCAGCUUGCUGGAGUACUCGAGUGGCGAACGGGUGAGUAACACGUGGGUAAUCUGCCCUGCACUCUGGGAUAAGCCUGGGAAACUGGGUCUAAUACUGGAUAUGACCUUUCUCCUUAUGGGGUUUGGUGGAAAGUUUUUCGGUGUAGGAUGAGCCCGCGGCCUAUCAGCUUGUUGGUGGGGUGAUGGCCUACCAAGGCGACGACGGGUAGCCGGCCUGAGAGGGUGAUCGGCCACAUUGGGACUGAGAUACGGCCCAGACUCCUACGGGAGGCAGCAGGGGGGAGUAUUGCACAAUGGGCGGAAGCCUGAUGCAGCGACGCCGCGUGAGGGAUGACGGCCUUCGGGUUGUAAACCUCUUUCAGCAGGGACGAAGCGUAAGUGACGGUACCUGCAGAAGAAGCACCGGCUAACUAUGUG
Molecule: ribosomal RNA, 467 nt
Filed under: uncultured bacterium
Lineage: Bacteria
Description: partial 16S ribosomal RNA
Rfam family: Bacterial small subunit ribosomal RNA
Source: RNAcentral